This 108-nucleotide ribosomal RNA is filed under the name uncultured Syndiniales. Its description in RNAcentral is "partial 18S ribosomal RNA". It matches the Rfam family "Eukaryotic small subunit ribosomal RNA", at positions 910 to 1016 of the family's 1831-position model. Lineage: Eukaryota; Dinophyceae; Syndiniales. The record is from RNAcentral.
GGUGAAAUUCUUAGAUUGGCGUUACGGCGAACUACUGCGAAAGUCUUUGGCCAAGAUGUUUUUAUUGAUCAAGAACGAAAGUAUGGGGAUCGAAGAUGAUUAGAUACC